This 521-nucleotide ribosomal RNA is filed under the name Carabus cantabricus brabeus. RNAcentral describes it as "partial 16S ribosomal RNA". It matches the Rfam family "Bacterial large subunit ribosomal RNA", at positions 1829 to 2599 of the family's 2925-position model. Lineage: Eukaryota; Metazoa; Arthropoda; Insecta; Coleoptera; Carabidae. The record is from RNAcentral.
GUCCUUUUGGAUUUUUAUUUAAGGUCUAGCCUGCCCACUGAAUUUAUAUUUUAAAUGGCCGCAGUAUUUUGACUGUGCAAAGGUAGCAUAAUCAUUAGUUUUUUAAUUAAAAGCUUGUAUGAAAGGCUGGACGAGGUAAAAUCUGUCUCUAUUUAAAUUAUAGUAGAAUUUAACUUUUAAGUUAAAAGGCUUAAAUAUUAUUAAAAGACGAGAAGACCCUAUAGAUCUUUAUAGUUUAUUAAAUUAAAUUAAUUUAGAAAUAUUAAUGUUUUAUUUAAUUAAAUUAUUUUAUUGGGGUAAUAAAAAGACUGAGUUAAUUCUUUUUUACAAUAAACAUUAAUUUAUGAAUAUUAAUGAUCCAGUUUUACUGAUUAUAAGAUUAAGUUACCUUAGGGAUAACAGCGUAAUUUUUUUAGAGAGUUCAUAUCGAUAAAAAAGUUUGCGACCUCGAUGUUGGAUUAAAGAUUAUUUUAGGUGUAGAAGCUUAAUAAUUUUGGUCUGUUCGACCAUUAAAUCUUUAC